GGGGGGAGUGUCAGAUCCUGGGCUGUGUCCCCCGGUGCCCUGGGAUCUGGGGCCUGCACCGCUGGAAUCCUGCUCCUGGGGCCGCGCAGCCCCCU
Molecule: microRNA precursor, 95 nt
Filed under: Canis lupus familiaris (dog)
Lineage: Eukaryota; Metazoa; Chordata; Mammalia; Carnivora; Canidae
Also listed under: 1 other name
Description: mir-8799 microRNA precursor family
Rfam family: mir-8799 microRNA precursor family
Source: Rfam by way of RNAcentral